This 222-nucleotide ribosomal RNA is filed under the name uncultured bacterium. Its description in RNAcentral is "partial 16S ribosomal RNA". It matches the Rfam family "Bacterial small subunit ribosomal RNA", at positions 524 to 745 of the family's 1533-position model. The record is from RNAcentral.
UACGUAGGGCGCAAGCGUUGUCCGGAAUUAUUGGGCGUAAAGAGCUCGUAGGCGGUUUGUCGCGUCUGCUGUGAAAACCUAAGGCUCAACCUUGGGCUUGCAGUGGGUACGGGCAGACUAGAGUGCGGUAGGGGUGACUGGAAUUCCUGGUGUAGCGGUGGAAUGCGCAGAUAUCAGGAGGAACACCGAUGGCGGAGGCAGGUCACUGGGCCGCAACUGACG